UUUGAGUGAUAAAUUAGUAUAUAAAUAUUCUACAUAUUUUUGUUUUACACAUUAAGAUUUUGAAAAUCCUUACUUGUUAUCAGCUUGUUGCUUAUCGAACUAUCUACUAAAGAGCCGAUAUGUGCCUCAAGAAAAGUUCUACUGAGGUUGGUCGAGGCCUUCCUUGCCCUUUUCAGAGCUUCUAUAGUUUCUGGAAAAAAAAAAUAGUUAACUAUAAUAAAAGUAUAAAUCAUUUAAUUAAUAAGUAUAAAUUAAUUUAAUCACUUGUUAAUAGAGAGCACAUUACCAGAUACCGCUAUAAUUCUAUCAUGGAUUCUCUUCCGCCACAUGCGUCGAACACCAACCUGUGCUCGGACAGAUUGCGGCAAUAAUUCUAAAUUCUUCGUCUGCAAUGCAUGUUAUACGAUUGAAUACUUAAUAAACAUAAGAAAUAAAAAAAAAAAAUCAAGAAUUUUCAGUCUACGUCCCAACACCAAAG
This 478-nucleotide long non-coding RNA is filed under the name Vigna radiata. RNAcentral's name for it is "long non-coding RNA (VRAD_LNC011668)". Lineage: Eukaryota; Viridiplantae; Streptophyta; Magnoliopsida; Fabales; Fabaceae. The record is from RNAcentral.